GGACUCAUAUUGAAACCUAGUGAUGUAUGAGUUAGUGGCGGACGGCUGCGUAACGCGUGGAGAACCUGCCGUAUACUGGGGGAUAACACUUACAAAUAGGUGCUAAUACCGCAUAAGCGCACAGCUUCGCAUGAAGCAGUGUGGAAAACAAAAAGCUAAAGCUUUUGGUGGUAUACGAUGGAUCCGCGUCUGAUUAGCUGGUUGGCGGGGUAAAGGCCCACCAAGGCGACGAUCAGUAGCCGGCCUGAGAGGGUGAACGGCCACAUUGGGACUGAGACACGGCCCAAACUCCUACGGGAGGCAGCAGUGGGGAAUAUUGCACAAUGGGGGAAACCCUGAUGCAGCGACGCCGCGUGAGUGAAGAAGUAUUUCGGUAUGUAAAGCUCUAUCAGCAGGGAAGAAAAUGACGGUACCUGACUAAGAAGCCCCGGCUAACUACGUGCCAGCAGCCGCGGUAAUACGUAGGGGGCAAGCGUUAUCCGGAUUUACUGGGUGUAAAGGGAGCGUAGACGGCAGCGCAAGUCUGGAGUGAAAUCCCAUGGCUUAACCAUGGAACUGCUUUGGAAACUGUGCAGCUAGAGUGCAGGAGAGGUAAGCGGAAUUCCUAGUGUAGCGGUGAAAUGCGUAGAUAUUAGGAGGAACACCAGUGGCGAAGGCGGCUUACUGGACUGUAACUGACGUUGAGGCUCGAAAGCGUGGGGAGCAAA
Molecule: ribosomal RNA, 707 nt
Filed under: uncultured bacterium
Lineage: Bacteria
Description: bacterial SSU rRNA
Rfam family: Bacterial small subunit ribosomal RNA
Source: RNAcentral